GACGAACGCUGGCGGCGUGCUUAACACAUGCAAGUCGAACGGAAAGGCCCUUCGGGGUACUCGAGUGGCGAACGGGUGAGUAACACGUGGGUGAUCUGCCCUGCACUUUGGGAUAAGCCUGGGAAACUGGGUCUAAUACCGAAUAGGACCGCGCGCUUCAUGGUGUGUGGGGGAAAGCUUUUGCGGUGUUGGAUGGGCCCGCGGCCUAUCAGCUUGUUGGUGGUGUAAUGGCCUACCAAGGCGACGACGGGUAGCCGGCCUGAGAGGGUGACCGGCCACACUGGGCCUGAGAUACGGCCCAGACUCCUACGGGAGGCAGCAGUGGGGAAUAUUGCACAAUGGGCGCAAGCCUGAUGCAGCGACGCCGCGUGAGGGAUGACGGCCUUCGGGGUGUAAACCUCUUUCACCAGGGACGAAGCGCAAGUGACGGUACCUGGAGAAGAAGCACCGGCCAACUACGUG
This 462-nucleotide ribosomal RNA is filed under the name uncultured bacterium. RNAcentral describes it as "partial 16S ribosomal RNA". It matches the Rfam family "Bacterial small subunit ribosomal RNA", at positions 28 to 507 of the family's 1533-position model. The record is from RNAcentral.